UAGAGAGAGACAUGCGCGCAUAUCAAUAAGCGGAGGAAAAGAAACUAACUAGGAUUCCCUCAGUAACGGCGAGUGAAGCGGGAAGAGCUCAAAUUUGAAAUCUUCAAGGUUCCUACCUUGACGAAUUGUAGUUUAAAGAAGUGUUUUCUGUUGGAGUUUUGGUAAAAGUUCUUUGGAAUAGGACAUCAUAGAGGGUGAGAAUCCCGUAUUUGACCAUUAUUUCCAGCUUUGUGAUACACUUUCAAAGAGUCGGAUUGUUUGGGAAUGCAGUCCAAAAUGGGUGGUAAAUUUCAUCUAAAGCUAAAUACUUGGCGAGAGACCGAUAGCGAACAAGUACCGUGAGGGAAAGAUGAAAAGAACUUUGAAAAGAGAGUUAAACAGUACGUGAAAUUGUCAAAAGGGAAGCGUUUGACACCAGUGUUGUUAUCUCGAAAAUCAAUUAAAAAAGGCAGGAUUUUGUGUUGUAUUGACUUUAUCAGCUUUCUGCACUCUUUUCUUGUCUUUUUUAAUGCACUUUUCGUUUAACAAGUCAACAUCAAUUUCUUUUGUUGUAAAAGGGUCAUUGGAAGGUGGCUUUCUUUUCGGAGAAAGUGUUUAUAGCCUUUGGCCUCUGCAAUCGGAGAGAUUGAGGUCUGCAGCGUAGAUCCUUCGGGGUUAGAUACAUUUGUGCUAAGUUAUAGCCUUUUCAUAGACAACUUGUUGACUAUGAUCAGUCAUGUAGCUUACUCGCUUAUGCUAUUUUACCUACGCUUAGGAUGUUGAUGUGAUACUGCGAGCA
RNAcentral lists this ribosomal RNA (778 nucleotides) under uncultured Neocallimastigales. Its description in RNAcentral is "partial large subunit ribosomal RNA". It matches the Rfam family "Eukaryotic large subunit ribosomal RNA", at positions 23 to 646 of the family's 3401-position model. Lineage: Eukaryota; Fungi; Neocallimastigomycota; Neocallimastigomycetes; Neocallimastigales. The record is from RNAcentral.